Molecule: ribosomal RNA, 856 nt
Filed under: uncultured bacterium
Lineage: Bacteria
Description: SSU rRNA
Rfam family: Bacterial small subunit ribosomal RNA
Source: RNAcentral
UACGUAGGGGGCAAGCGUUGUCCGGAAUUAUUGGGCGUAAAGGGCGCGUAGGCGGCCCUGCAAGUUGGAUGUGAAAUCCCCGUGCUUAACAUGGGAAUUGCAUGCAAAACUGUGGGACUUGAGUGUGGAAGAGGUAAGUGGAAUUCCCAGUGUAGAGGUGAAAUGCGUACAUAUUGGGAGGAACACCGGUGGCGAAGGCGACUUACUGGGCCACAACUGACGCUGAUGCACGAAAGCGUGGGGAGCAAACAGGAUUAGAUACCCUGGUAGUCCACGCCGUAAACGAUGGAUACUAGGUGUAGGAGGUAACACCCCUCCUGUGCCGCAGCUAACGCAUUAAGUAUCCCGCCUGGGGAGUACGGUCGCAAGAUUGAAACUCAAAGGAAUUGACGGGGGCCCGCACAAGCAGCGGAGCAUGUGGUUUAUUUCGAAGCAACGCGAAGAACCUUCCCAAGGGUUGACAUCCCCUGACCGCCAUGGAAACAUGGCUUCCCUUCGGGGCAGGGAGACAGGUGGUGCAUGGUUGUCGUCACCUCGUGUCGUGAGAUGUUGGGUUAAGUCCCGCAACGAGCGCACCCCUUACAUUUAGUUGCCAGCGGGUAAUGCCGGGAACUCUAGGUGGACUGCCGGGGUCAACUCGGAGGAAGGUGGGGACGACGUCAAAUCAUCAUGCCCCUUAUGUCUUGGGCUACACACGUGCUACAAUGGCUUCUACAAAGGGAUGCGAUUCCGCGAGGUGGAGCGAAACCCAUAAAACUAGUCCCAGUUCGGAUUGUGGGCUGCAACUCGCCCACAUGAAGUCGGAGUUGCUAGUAAUCGCGGAUCAGCAUGCCGCGGUGAAUGCGUUCCCGGGCCU